GAGUUUGAUCAUGGCUCAGGAUGAACGCUAGCGGCAGGCUUAACACAUGCAAGUCGAGGGGUAUAGUUCUUCGGAAUUAGAGACCGGCGCACGGGUGCGUAACGCGUAUGCAAUCUACCUUUCACAGAGGGAUAGCCCAGAGAAAUUUGGAUUAAUACCUCAUAGUAUAACGACUCUGCAUGGAGAUGUUAUUAAAGUCACAACGGUGAAAGAUGAGCAUGCGUCCCAUUAGCUAGUUGGUAAGGUAACGGCUUACCAAGGCUACGAUGGGUAGGGGUCCUGAGAGGGAGAUCCCCCACACUGGUACUGAGACACGGACCAGACUCCUACGGGAGGCAGCAGUGAGGAAUAUUGGACAAUGGGCGCAAGCCUGAUCCAGCCAUGCCGCGUGCAGGAUGACGGUCCUAUGGAUUGUAAACUGCUUUUGCACAGGAAGAAACAACGCUACGUGUAGCGUCUUGACGGUACUGUGAGAAUAAGGAUCGGCUAACUCCGUGCCAGCAGCCGCGGUAAUACGGAGGAUCCAAGCGUUAUCCGGAAUCAUUGGGUUUAAAGGGUCCGUAGGCGGUUUAGUAAGUCAGUGGUGAAAGCCCAUCGCUCAACGGUGGAACGGCCAUUGAUACUGCUAGACUUGAAUUAUUANGAAGUAACUAGAAUAUGUAGUGUAGCGGUGAAAUGCUUAGAGAUUACUGGAAUACCAAUGCGAAGCAGGUACUAC
RNAcentral lists this ribosomal RNA (718 nucleotides) under uncultured bacterium. RNAcentral describes it as "bacterial SSU rRNA". It matches the Rfam family "Bacterial small subunit ribosomal RNA", at positions 9 to 732 of the family's 1533-position model. The record is from RNAcentral.